This 253-nucleotide ribosomal RNA is filed under the name uncultured bacterium. RNAcentral describes it as "partial 16S ribosomal RNA". It matches the Rfam family "Bacterial small subunit ribosomal RNA", at positions 524 to 776 of the family's 1533-position model. The record is from RNAcentral.
UACGAGGGGGGCGAGCGUUGUUCGGAAUUAUUGGGCGUAAAGGGUGCGUAGGCGGUUUGGUAAGUCUUGUGUGAAAUCUACAGGCUCAACUUGUAGUCUGCACGAGAAACUGCCGGGCUUGAGUAUGGGAGAGGUGAGUGGAAUUCCUGGUGUAGCGGUGAAAUGCGUAGAUAUCAAGUGGAACACCAGUGGCGAAGGCGAGUCUCUGGACAUUUCCUGACGCUGAGGCACGAAAGCCAGGGGAGCAAACGGG